UACGGAGGGUGCAAGCGUUAUCCGGAUUCACUGGGCGUAAAGGGUGCGUAGGCGGGGCUUUAAGUCAGGGGUGAAAUCCUGGAGCUCAACUCCAGAACUGCCUUUGAUACUGAGGAUCUUGAGUUCGGGAGAGGUGAGUGGAACUGCGAGUGUAGAGGUGAAACUCGUAGAUAUUCGCAAGAACACCAGUGGCGAAGGCGGCUCACUGGCCCGAUACUGACGCUGAGGCACGAAAGCGUGGGGAGCAAACAGG
This 253-nucleotide ribosomal RNA is filed under the name uncultured bacterium. Its description in RNAcentral is "partial 16S ribosomal RNA". It matches the Rfam family "Bacterial small subunit ribosomal RNA", at positions 524 to 776 of the family's 1533-position model. The record is from RNAcentral.